Long non-coding RNA from Cebus imitator (Panamanian white-faced capuchin), 907 nucleotides. RefSeq lists it as uncharacterized. NCBI's taxonomy places the organism in Eukaryota, Metazoa, Chordata, Mammalia, Primates, Cebidae. The record is from RefSeq and is a predicted model, not a curated record. The transcript has 2 exons.
UCUCCUGAUUUCGUGAUCUGCCCACCUCAGCCUCCCAGAGUGCUGGGAUUAUAGGCAUCAGCCACUGUGCCUGCCGAUGACACUUUUGUCUUCUUAUUGAGAGCUUUCUUCAGUGGCCUCUGAUGAUGGGCGUUUCAGGCUGGAAUGGAGAUCUUUGGGAGGAAGGCCUUGUAGAUCCCUCAGACCAGAGUUCCCCAGUAAAGCAACUUUUACAGUGGAACAAACUGAGAUGGAAAGGGGUGAAGUAAGUUAUCCAGGGGCACACAGCCAGUGGGUAGGUGGUGGUCCACCCAGAGCUGUGGGCCUCAGGGCCAGUGAGCUUAACCAUGCCGCUUGUCUCAAGAUAUUAGGAUCCACUUUCUCUAAGACCCUGGCGAGCACCUGUACUCCUCUGCAGGAAAUAUUGGAAACAUCAUUCUUCUUCAGUGGUGCAUUUACAAUACAGUAUUUUUUUCUUUUAAAUUGAGACUUCAGAGAUGUGUAUGUGUUCAUUUAUGUUAAUGAUUCAAAGGGUCUUUUGCUCUUAGGGAAGCUUACUUUUUUUGCCUAUUUUUAACAUAAAAAUAAAUUUCAGUAAAUAUCACAAUAUUUUUUUCAGGCACCCUGGUGGCUCGUUUUGGGACCUACAUGGUAGGGGGUCCACAUACUAUAUUCUGGAUUUUGAGUGUUUGUCACUUUCACUAAUUUGUUAAUAAGAAAAUGAUUGCAGGAAAUAAUGAAGAUGCAGUCACUAAAUCUGAAUGAGGUUCCAUGCCUUUCUAGCCCUGUUUAUUAACCUGUAUGUUUUAUGUUUUACGUUUUCACCAAGCGCUUUAUCAUGUGUAGUUAUAAUAGUUGAGAUAGCAUUGCUUAUGCAUGUUUGCAUGUUGCUUUUCUCAUGUAAUAAAAUUAAAUACAUAUUUUCUGU